UGGAGAAUCACUUUACAUGGAGAAAAAGAGGCAACGAGGUGGAUAGAAGAGACCGGGGACGAGAAGGAUGACUAAUCCUUCACGGUCAUGGUCCACUAGAUGUGACAGGAAGACCACCUGUGGCCAGGCAGAAUGUGACCUAAAUGGGGCUUAUGGCAGCUCACAGAUGGGCCUGCCAGAUAACGUUGGAAAGACAAUAACUGCUGAGGACGAGUCGACAUACUGUGGCCGACCUGGCAAAGGAGAACCGUCUAUUUGUAAUGGGGGGAAAACAAAGAUGAUAUAAGAUUUAUUGAACCAACACAGCAGAGCAAAUGAACAGAGCUCAGUGAAGGAUAAAAUAACACAGUGGAGAGGAGGCGUCCACAAUCGAUCGAUCCGGAGCAGCGAGCCUGCCAGCUACUGCUACCUUCCUCUUUCCAGGAAGACUCUGCACAUACAGGAUAGACCUUAAGGCAUCUCAUUGUAUCAUGUUUGUUUGUGUGUGUUUGUGCGUGUGUGUUGUACACAUCUUAAAGAAUGUGUGCAUAGUCUAUGAUCUCAGAAGUCAGGGAGAGUCGGUGUGUCUUUCACACUUAUGUACUGUACUGUAAGUAAG
Trematomus bernacchii (emerald rockcod) is the source of this 598-nucleotide long non-coding RNA. RefSeq lists it as uncharacterized. The record is from RefSeq and is a predicted model, not a curated record. The transcript is spliced from 3 exons. NCBI's taxonomy places the organism in Eukaryota, Metazoa, Chordata, Actinopteri, Perciformes, Nototheniidae.